RNAcentral lists this ribosomal RNA (253 nucleotides) under uncultured bacterium. RNAcentral's name for it is "partial 16S ribosomal RNA". It matches the Rfam family "Bacterial small subunit ribosomal RNA", at positions 524 to 776 of the family's 1533-position model. The record is from RNAcentral.
UACGGAGGGGGCUAGCGUUGUUCGGAAUUACUGGGCGUAAAGCGCGCGUAGGCGGACCUGCAAGUCGGGGGUGAAAGCCCGAGGCUCAACCUCGGAACUGCCUUCGAUACUGCGGGUCUCGAGUCCGGGAGAGGUGAGUGGAAUUCCUAGUGUAGAGGUGAAAUUCGUAGAUAUUCGGAAGAACACCAGUGGCGAAGGCGGCUCACUGGACUGGUAUUGACGCUGAGGUGCGAAAGCGUGGGGAGCAAACAGG